RNAcentral lists this ribosomal RNA (507 nucleotides) under uncultured Actinomycetes bacterium. RNAcentral describes it as "bacterial SSU rRNA". It matches the Rfam family "Bacterial small subunit ribosomal RNA", at positions 8 to 524 of the family's 1533-position model. The record is from RNAcentral. Lineage: Bacteria; Bacillati; Actinomycetota; Actinomycetes.
AGAGUUUGAUCAUGGCUCAGGACGAACGCUGGCGGUGCGCCUUAUGCAUGCAAGUCGAGCGAAGCUUUUCAGUAGUUUACUACAGAAAAUGACUGAGCGGCGAACGGGUGAGUAACGCGUGAGCAAUCUACCUUAGUUACAGGGAUAGCCCGAGGAAACUCGGAUUAAUACCUGAUAUUCUUUAUUUCUCGCAUGAGAAUAAAAGGAAAGGUCAGCCGAACUAAGAUGAGCUCGCGUUCUAUCAGCUAGUUGGUGAGGUAAAAGCUCACCAAGGCUACGACGGAUAGCUGGUCUGAGAGGACGAUCAGCCACACUGGGACUGAGACACGGCCCAGACUCCUACGGGAGGCUGCAGCAGGGAAUAUUGCGCAAUGAGCGAAAGCUUGACGCAGCGACACCGCGUGUGGGAUGACGGAUCUAGGUUUGUAAACCACUUUCAGGAGGGAAGAAAAUGACGGUACCUCCACAGGAAGCCCCGGCCAACUACGUGCCAGCAGCCGCGGUAAU